UAAAUUUUUAUUUUUUGUAAACAUAAGAAAAUAUGCAGUAUAAUUAAUUUAGCUGAAAAUCUUUCAGAGGAUGGUUCUUGAUAAGAAUACUGUGAUCUCACAGUAGAGCAUGCAUUAUUAAUAACAAGAUUUUACAUUUUAAGCAACUUUGUUCUUCAUUGGUCAAGGGUACCUCACUCCAGAAUGCAUCUGAAUUUCUGAUCAUCCUUGAAUUUUUGUGUUCUGCCUUCCAGACCUUCAUAUUCUUUGGCUAAAACUGGAAACAUCCACAAUCUCAAAGUCUCUCCAGACUAAAAGGGGUCCUUUGGGACAAGGCAGGGUUAGGUAACCAGUACCUUUAAAGCUGACCUAGAGUUCAGAGAUGGGAGAAGAUAUUCAGCAUAAUGUUUACAUAGUAGCAUUAAUUCGCUGUUGAAUAACUUUUUUUUUUCUUAAGGUGCUAUCCUUGUAGCAAGAUAGCUGUAGUGUCACUUUAUUUUUUUUUAUUUUUUAUUUUUUAUUUUUUUUGUCUUUUUGCUAUUUCUUGGGCCACUCCCGUGGCAUAUGGAGGUUCCCAGGCUAGGGAAAGAAAGAAAGAAAGAAAGAAAGAAAGAAAGAAAGAAAGAAAGAAAGAAAGAAAGAAAGAAAGAAAAAGAAAGAAAGAAAGAAAAGGGUCUCCAUUACCUUCACUGGACACUUAUUUUAUCUUCACUGGUGGUUUUUCUUUGCUAGGAACGUUAAUGUCACCCAGAUAGUAAGUUGCCAAGCCAGGGAUGUGAACUCAAAUCUACCUAUCUCCAGAGCCUGAGCUCUUAACCACGGUGGUACUUAGUUAACCACACACAUGCUCAGCCUUCCAAGAGAAAAGGCAAGCUCUUCAAGAAGGAAGUAUGCUGAGGCAUCUUAGAUUUAUGCCCGGAAAGCCAGAGUCAGUGGCUGCCUGGCUCAAAGUUGUACAUUUUGAUACUCAGAAACUGAUAAGCAAUUAAGAGUUUACCAAGCUCUUUAAGACUUAGAAAGGGAGAAAUGUAGCUCCCAGUUAUAGUUACAAUUUAAUAGGCAGUAUUAAAAUGCUAAAUAAACACCACAAUUUUGUUAAUUGUUAUAUCAAAUAGAUAUAAUUUAAAUUGGUUUUUCAUCCUUAGUCUUUAUUUAUUUAUUUUUUUUGAGAGGAAAUAUCCAUUAUUUGAAUAGUGUUUUAAGUCACAAGGGUAUUUUUCACAGUGCUGAAACUUUAAUGUUAUAAAAGGGCUUAUUCUCUUCCAAUGAGUAAGAAACCUACUGCCAACCAGUAACAGAUUAUAUAAUCCAGAAAAAGAAAUUCAUUUUGACAAACAACUUAAAGAGGAAAGAAGAAAGUGGAUUUUAGACAACUUGGUGCCGACAUAUCAGAAUCAGUGUCUUAGAAUUUAGAUGGGCACUGAAACCUCGGCCCCCUGCAUGCCCAUUGUACUAAAUAUUUUACAUGUCUGCAUGCCCAUGCAUGUUUCUUUAGGGCUCACUUUUAUCCUGGAAUGUGUGCAUGUUAAUAAGAGAGUCUGCCUAGAAAUGUAUAUGAUGAUAUAGAAAUAUAGUGCCAUUUAUAAAAGACAUAGCUUAUUAAACAGGCAUUUCUUCUUUUGAUCAUUUGAAUUGAAGAUACAUUUGACUUUAUCUUUUGAAAGAGAGAUAGAGGAUCCUACACUGAUUAUUGACCAGUUUCCUUUAAUUUCACUUUCUUGAAUACCACAAAAUUACUAUUGAUUCCAGUGGUCUGAGCCCCUUCAGGGUAGAGGCAGUAUCUUUGCUAUCUUUGUUUCCUUAGCACAAUGCUUGGUAUUGAAGACAUGCAAUAAAUAUUCCCCUUAUCAAAAUAAAAUUUAAUUCAUGAAUGCAUAAUAUAUAAUCUACUUGGGAAGUCUAUUGUAAGAAAAUGUUCAGUGAUUAUCCAAGUUUCAAGAUAUAAAAUCUGAUGAGUUAAAAGCUCAUUGAAAUUUACCAGAAAGAACAUUUUUCUAUACUUUUAAUUUUUAGAAAUGUGAUUUUUUUCCAUUUUAAAUAAUAAACCUUUUCUGUGGCACUUAUACUUGAACAAAAGGAUAUUUAGGUAUUUAAAAGGUUUUCAGUGUUCCAAACAGUUUACAAAAAUAUUUAGACAUACCCCAAUUUCAUAUUCUAACAAAUUUUGCAUUCCCACUUGAACCAAUGUAUGUUUCUUUUUAUAUAAGUGCUUAUAUAUUUAGGUGUGUAAACUGCUUUCCCUUUUAAUAUUCUCCAAUAGAAAUCUGAAACCUAGAUUGUCAUGCACAGAAAUGUAUAGCUAGAUAGACCUCUCUACUUGGUGUUUUUUGUUUUUAUUUUUUGCCUUUUCUUGAGCCGCUCCCGAGGUAUAUGGAGGUUCCCAGGCUAGGGGUCUAAUUGGAUAGCCACUGGCCUAUGCCAGAGCCACAGUAACUCGGGACCACAGCUCAUGGCAACGCUAGAUCCUUAACCCAUUGAGCAAGGGCAGGGAUUGAACCCUCAACCUCAUAGUUCCUAGUCGGAUUCGUUAACCACUACACCACGAUAGGAACUCCUUUACUUGGUGAUUUUGAAACUAACUCCAUCAGGUAACCAUGUAGAGAAUAAAUCUCUCCUUGGUAGGACAAAUUCACCUCUUAUCUGUUCCAUUUUAAAUGGUUAACUGCCCCCUUUGGAUUGAAAAAGACUUCCCUGACGUGAGGUCCCACUUGCCUCUUAAGUUCCCUGAAGAGUGGAGUCCUUAAGGAUUCCCUCACUGCUUAAUUCCUUCCGCAAAUAUGUGCAGAGAGCUUCUUGUGUUCUAGGCUAUGCUUUAGGGACAUAAAGGAUAAGAGGCAGUCCCUUAAACCCUCCAACGCUGUUAUUGUGUAAUGAAUAAAUGAAACAAAGUGUCUUGAGGCCUGGCCUCACCUCAUAGACUUCUAAGGGGGAUAAGAGAGGGAAGAGCUAAUUCUCCAAGUGCAGUAUGGAAAGUCCUCCAGAGGAAAUAACACCUAAGCACAUAAAUUAAAAAUGAUUGGAUGGAGUGGGCAAGGGAGAGUUCCAAACAGACAGAAAUUGAGCAGAAUCUUGGAAACGUUGACAAUUUUGCAAUAGUUAAGCAAAGAGGGAAGGACUGGGCAGGGGGCAGUUUUUCACUAUUGUGUACAAAGAUUUAUAGCAACUUGAUUACUAUGUUGCUAAUGAGCUGGGCAACCAUCAGAAUAGGGGUGGGGGGGGAAUAGUUUAGUAAUUACCAUGUGAGAACUCUGAGCUUAGCCUAUUAGAGAUU
RNAcentral lists this long non-coding RNA (3250 nucleotides) under Sus scrofa (pig). RNAcentral's name for it is "lncRNA (ENSSSCG00060069605.1)". Lineage: Eukaryota; Metazoa; Chordata; Mammalia; Artiodactyla; Suidae. The record is from RNAcentral.